RNAcentral lists this non-coding RNA (21 nucleotides) under Arabidopsis thaliana (thale cress). The record is from RNAcentral. Lineage: Eukaryota; Viridiplantae; Streptophyta; Magnoliopsida; Brassicales; Brassicaceae.
GAGUAGGAAAGUGGUGUUCUU